RNAcentral lists this ribosomal RNA (482 nucleotides) under uncultured bacterium. Its description in RNAcentral is "partial 16S ribosomal RNA". It matches the Rfam family "Bacterial small subunit ribosomal RNA", at positions 30 to 507 of the family's 1533-position model. The record is from RNAcentral.
AUUGAACGCUGGCGGCAUGCUUUACACAUGCAAGUCGAACGGUAACAGGCCGCAAGGUGCUGACGAGUGGCGAACGGGUGAGUAAUGCAUCGGAACGUGCCCAGCCGUGGGGGGUAACUACUCGAAAGAGUAGCUAAUACCGCAUACGAUCUAUGGAUGAAAGCGGGGGACCGUAAGGCCUCGCGCGAUUGGAGCGGCCGAUGUCAGAUUAGGUAGUUGGUGGGGUAAAGGCUCACCAAGCCAACGAUCUGUAGCUGGUCUGAGAGGACGACCAGCCACACUGGGACUGAGACACGGCCCAGACUCCUACGGGAGGCAGCAGUGGGGAAUUUUGGACAAUGGGCGCAAGCCUGAUCCAGCAAUGCCGCGUGCAGGAAGAAGGCCUUCGGGUUGUAAACUGCUUUUGUACGGAACGAAACGGCUCUGGUUAAUACCCGGGGCUAAUGACGGUACCGUAAGAAUAAGCACCGGCUAACUACGUG